RNAcentral lists this non-coding RNA (103 nucleotides) under unclassified sequences. RNAcentral's name for it is "c-di-GMP sequence". It matches the Rfam family "c-di-GMP-II-GAG riboswitch aptamer". The record is from Rfam by way of RNAcentral.
CCGGCCACGGGACGCGAUGAACCUCGGAUCGCACGACGGUCGCCACCUGUGCAUCCUGACAGGAGGUCCGAGGGGAGCGAGUGGCGAGACCGCCCCGAACCGA